Molecule: transfer RNA, 74 nt
Filed under: Treponema sp.
Lineage: Bacteria; Pseudomonadati; Spirochaetota; Spirochaetia; Treponematales; Treponemataceae
Description: tRNA-Cys
Rfam family: tRNA
About the family: Transfer RNA (tRNA) molecules are approximately 80 nucleotides in length. Their secondary structure includes four short double-helical elements and three loops (D, anti-codon, and T loops).
Source: RNAcentral
GAACUGGUACCCAAGUGGUCUAAGGGGAUGGUCUGCAAAACCAUUAGUCGUGGGUUCGAAUCCCAUCCAGUUCU